Molecule: ribosomal RNA, 253 nt
Filed under: uncultured bacterium
Lineage: Bacteria
Description: partial 16S ribosomal RNA
Rfam family: Bacterial small subunit ribosomal RNA
Source: RNAcentral
UACGUAGGGUGCGAGCGUUAAUCGGAAUUACUGGGCGUAAAGUGUGCGCAGGCGGUUUCGCAAGUCAAGUGUGAAAGCCCCGGGCUUAACCUGGGAAUGGCAUUUGGGACUGCAAGGCUGGAGUGUGGCAGAGGAGACUGGAAUUCCUGGUGUAGCAGUGAAAUGCGUAGAUAUCAGGAGGAAUACCGAUGGCGAAGGCAGGUCUCUGGGCUGACACUGACGCUCAUGCACGAAAGCGUGGGGAGCAAACAGG